Long non-coding RNA from Rhipicephalus microplus (southern cattle tick), 2682 nucleotides. The record is from RefSeq and is a predicted model, not a curated record. NCBI's taxonomy places the organism in Eukaryota, Metazoa, Arthropoda, Arachnida, Ixodida, Ixodidae.
AGUUGUAAGGUAGAGGUACAGUGCCUAGAAUAUUGCCCCUAUUCUAGACACUGUAGUCAUAGAGAAAGAAGCUGUAGUAGAGGUGUUCUGCAGUGUGUGUUAAGAAACUCUAUGGUGUUCUGUGGUUCUGUGCUGUAGCCCCGCUUAACACCAGCCAACACAAGCCUCGCAGACACAACGUGUUCUGUGAGACAACUCUCCGGGCCAAAUGCGAGCAGCAGCCGAUCAAAGCGCCUUCCGACGAGCCGAUAUCCCGCGGUGCAAGCUCUUAAAGGAAGUCUCCCGUCGGGGACGACUGACCGGCCAGAUAAUACCGUCCUUCCCAGUGCUCCAACAUCGCCCCUUAAGAAAUUCGCAUAGGCGGUGGCGCCACGCUUCCCUCUAGGUAGAGUGUACUAGAAUAAGGUUCUAGUACACUAUCUCUACUAUGGAGGCCAGGGUGUAGAAUUGGUAAAAUGACGGGGCACGCUCGCCUCUACGCAACGCCGCGAUGAACGCCAGUGUCAACUCCGCCGCCAGUGUCAGCGCUGCGGAGAAGAGGGCUCGGGCCGCCGCCGCUGCUGCUGCGAAACGGGAAGCGACGACGUCAACGGCGGCUAGCGAACCCUGAAAUCCGGGCUCGGGAAGCCGAAUUGAAACGUCGACGUCGAGCAGCGAAUCUUGAAGCGGCUCGGCAAUACGAAACCGAAAAGAAACGUCAACGGCGGCUAUUGGACCCUGAAUUCCGGGCUAGGGAAGCCGAAUUGAGACGUCGACGUCGAGCAGCGAACCUCGAGGUGGUGCGACGACGCGAAGCCGAAGCGAAACGUAGACGCCGAGCAGCGAAUCUCGAAGCGAAACGUAAACAACGAGCAGCAGAAUCUCGAAGCGGCGCGGCAAUGCGAGUCGGCGGCGAAGGCAACGCAUCGCAUGAAGCAACUGCUGCAACCGGGCACGGAUGGCGCGGACGCGUGGUUCAAGCUCGAGUUCGUGGAUCGAAGCUUCGGGCACAUCUGCAAGGUUGCAUCGCCGGCACAACCAACUGGAGUCCUUCGAGCGAAGUGUUCUGUGCAGCAUGACCAGCCCACAUCCUGUGAGAAGGGUGUGUCCAAAUCAACACAGGCUAAUAUAGUCACUCAAAUGGUCUCUGCAUGGACGCAAUCCGAAGAGGUGCAAGAUUUAUAUGAUGCCUCCUCGCCACUGAAAGUGCCACAGCCAAGCAAAGGCCAUAAAGCAGCAUCAUUUGGAUUGCAGAGGACCAAGGUUAGUGCCUCCAGGACCUAUGAAAGUCAUGGAAGGCCCCAGUGCAUACGCAAAAGGCUGCUGAAAAGAUAACAUGGUGUACAGGCAUCUCGGAGGCCAACUUAUACUCUACCGCGGUCUCCUGUUAGAUGCCAUCCCACAAUCUCAAAGACAGCGACGUCGUUUCUUGAUCAUCGGAACCGCUAUCGCAGGACGUAAGUGCACUACAGUUAGUAUAAGGUAUGCAGAGUGGAGGUUCGGGCUUGGACCCGGGCAUACGCCCGAGUGCUGCAGUGAAGAGUCUCUUCACCGGAGUACGGCUCCUCCUUUGCGCUACCACCAAGCACUCAAGUCAUCGAGGGGCACCUAUUCUGAACCUCUACACCUUCCCUCCUUAGCUAGUGUAGAAGCUAGCCGAGGAGUAGGAAAUUAAUCGGCGCAGUCGACAGGAUUGGAGAGCCCACAGCGAGGAAAGCGCUAAAAUGCGGGGAAGCUCACAAGAUGCUCACCGCUUUUGGGAGCUACUGGUGUGCUGCGAGAAGUAGCAUCAGGACGCUCGCUGCUUUGGUAUCUGCUGGCGUGCUGAUCAACGAACCUGCUGAUUAACUUGGGAGCCAGGAGUUGGGCAGCCCAAGAGCGCUGCGCCUCAGUAAACUAGAGCAGAACAGAAAGGACAGUCCACACGGCUAACUUCAGACAACGACAGGGGCGGCUUGGUGGAGCUCCCGGAGCAUCAAAGGAUUCGUCGCAAUCAGCGUUGGCGACGAGACGAUGUUAUUCCAACUGACAAGGUCAUUGGGCGACGCAUCACUGCAAGCAAUGCCUCUAGUCUUGGAAUAUCCAACACGGACCAGCAGUCGAAUGGAGGAAUAUUGAAAUGGUGAUGGCAUCACAGAUGGUGAUGAUGAGUGCAGACUGACAGCAAGCUCACCUUUAAUGAAGAAGGAGAGAAAAGGCCCUGCCACAGUCAAUCGAGAGCCUGUACUUGUCAUCGUCAGUGACAGCGCACUCGCUCAUCGAGGUUUGAGGACCUGGAGGCUUUGAAUCGCCGUGAACUUUCCAAUGCAACCUGUGCCUACAGACGAUUGUACAAUAGACUACUUUUAAACGAAACCAGAAGCGACCAAGAAAAUGUGUUUCCUUCAAGAAGAGUUUCGUUUACUGAGAGAUAAACAGGGGUAUAUAUUCAAGUACCGAACCAAACAUAUUAGUGGAAGUUGUUUCAUUUAAGCAGUAAUUUCAUUUGAGAGGGUUUCCUUUAAUAGGAGUCUACUGUAAUGUGAAAUCGUCUCUCCAAGUCUGCCAAUUCCGCGAGCACACGCUUGGUCGCAUGCAGAGGUUGCUUUCAGCAAAUCAUUGCAAAUAAAUUUCACUCAGAGGCUCGUUUACACCAAUAGAUUCUAUGGUAUUGAGUCAGAUUUCUUGCUCUAAUUUCAGUAAAAUUAAUUUUGCUAUUCUUUC